UCCCGGAGCUCGGGCACCUGAGGGCGGCUCCUGCAAACCGGCUCCUGCUGCGGGCUCUGCAGGAAGGGAGGCUGAGAUUGAGGGCAGGAGACUGAGGCUGGAGGGGUCCUGAGAUUGAGGGCAGGAGGCUGAGAUUGAGGGCAGGAGACUGAGGCUGGAGGGGUCCUGAGACUGAGGGCAGGAGGCUGAGACUGAGGGCAGGAGACUGAGGCUGGAGGGGUCCUGAGACUGAGGGCAGGAGGCUGAGACUGAGGGCAGGAGACUGAGGCUGGAGGGGUCCUGAGGCUGAGGGCAGGAGGCUGAGGCUGAGGGCAGGAGGUUGAGGCUGGAGGGGUCCUGAGGCUGAGGGCAGGAGACUGAGAUUGAGGGCAGGAGUCUGAGGCUGAGGGGUCCUGAGGCUGAGGGCAGGAGACUGAGAAUGAGGGCAGGAGGGAUCCUGAGGCCAUGGGCACAGGUCAAAGCCCUGGGAGGAGGCUGCAGGGUGGGCUGAGCACCAGCAGAGUGCAGGAGAUGGGCUCAGAACUAAGGGAAGGAGGUGGGAUGAUGCCGGGAUCUGCUCUCUGAAGGUUCCAGAGGCUGACAUGUCCGGCUGUGCCUGGUCAGAAACCACUGAAAUCCUCUCUCAGCAUCACAUCUCGUCUCCCCUGAACAUCUCCAGAACAGUGGGUAAAAGCUGCAGGUGCAGCUCUGCCUGGCCUGGUGGUCCAGGACGGUAUAUAAAACCACCCAUGAUUCAGACACCUUCCAGCAGGUUCUCGUGACUUCUCCUCGGUGAACAGAGUCUACAGCACGGCUAAACGAUGUCUUGUGAAAAAACCCUGUGCACGGAGCCGUGUGCUGCCGUAGGAAAUGUGAACCGCCCUGAGCCCUGUGCUGCUGCCCACAGUGAGCCCAGCGUCAUCGCCUGCCCCGACUCCCGCGUCAUCAUCUUCCCACCACCAGUGGUCGUCACUAUUCCAGGGCCCAUCCUCACCACCUACCCACAAGAGACCAUCGUGGGCUCCACAGAAUCAGCCGAGCUGGCCUCCGCCCUGGAGUCGGGUGUAGCCAUCGGCUCAUCACAGAAAGGUGCUGAGUGCGCACUGCCCUGCGCCGAGCCCUGUGCCACGAAGCUCGUGACAAAGUGCGAGGCCCCGUGUCCACCUCCGUGUCCACCUCCGUGUCCACCUCCGUGUGCACCUCCGUGUCCACCUCCGUGUGUGCCCCCAUGUCCUCCUCCAUGCGUGCCCCAAUGCGUGCCCCAGUGUGAGCCGCAGUGCGUGCCUCUGUGUGUGCCGGAGCGCUCCUACACUUAUUCCACCCAGUGGAAGCAUCCUUGCCAGAGGGGCUUCUGCAAGACGCUCUAAUCAGCCUACAGCAGAGAAUAAUCACAGGAACACAGCAAGCAAAGGAGUGAACGGAUACGGCGCGUCAUUUACAGGCAUGGCUUUCAUGGUUCUUCCUACUGCAGAGGGAAGUGACCCAGAAUCAGGACACUGCUUCUAAUUCCUGUAUACUGCUUUAGCUUAGAUUAAUGCUUUCUUUAUUCUUGUGGCUUUGCAUCUUACAUCUGUGCUUUUAACUUCCUCUACACAGUUUAACUGUGAUUUAAACAAACAAAAAAAGCACACCUAGAGAUUUGAAUGUCAUACUCAGCAAAAAUGAGGAAAAAGAACAUCUUGAUGAAAUGUGCCACACUAGAAUGGGUAACUGGUUCUAGCUUUUCUUGUUUCUAGAAAUAUACGCUUUCUAGACUGCAUAAUUCUUUCUGCAAAUGUUUACUCCACUCUGCAUUCACAUUAAAAGGCUGCUGCAUCAAACCAUUGGCCUUCUGAAUCUCCUUUUUCCUCUGCUUCUCAUUUGCAAUGCUCUCUUGGAGAUACUCUGUCUUAUAUAGAGGAACAGAAGCUGUCCUCAACAUUCUUCCCAGACCAGCCACAACUUGAUGCCCAGGGAAAACUAAGGGUUUGGUUCUGCUGUGAAAAUUGGAAUAUCUGCUGUACAUUCUAGGCUGCAGGCUGGAAACUAGUGAGCACAAGUACAAGUCAUAGGGAAAUGUGGGUCUGUGUUUUCUAAGGUAUAUGCCUUGAGAUUAUAGCAAAAUGUAUAUAUUUUUAAAAUAUUAUGU
Molecule: RNA transcript, 2107 nt
Organism: Numida meleagris (helmeted guineafowl)
Lineage: Eukaryota; Metazoa; Chordata; Aves; Galliformes; Numididae
Gene name: probable pathogenesis-related protein ARB_02861
Exons: 3
Source: RefSeq, a predicted model, not a curated record